This is a long non-coding RNA of Bos taurus (domestic cattle), 1974 nucleotides long. Lineage: Eukaryota; Metazoa; Chordata; Mammalia; Artiodactyla; Bovidae. The record is from Ensembl.
AUAGCCCAGAGCACUGAUGAGAUGAUGGGCAAGCUCCUCCCAGACAGCCAUAUGUCAUCAAGUUCCCUCUGAUUGUAGAGGUGCACCUACGGGGGAAAUGGCUUGAUUUGUACUAUGAGUUGGUUGAGGUCACAGGCAGAGUCGUAAUGGGACUCUAAUGGACUCAAAGCUAUGCUUGGAAAAAGCUGUUUUAAUUGGCUGUGUAACUUUGAUGGACGUAAGCUGAGCACCUGUAGUUGGAAACUUGGAAGACCAAGUUGGGCUGACUGGUACAGAUACAAGGACAUUCAAGAGAAGAAGCUAAGUGUAUGCUGGGCAGUUACGUGAAGGAUGUGGGAACCUGGAAUGGGAUACAAAUUUUUCCAUGACGGGCUCCCUCUUCUUGAUACAGUGGGCACUGGAUGCUUUACUUACAGUCAGAGGCAGUGGGGCUGCACUGAAAAAGCAGGCUGUCCACCCUCGGUUUAUUCCCACAGAUUCUAGCUGCCCCAGAGGGUCCUGUCAACAACUAGAAGGACAGAAAGACACAUCCCAACCACCUGAUGGAACUAAGGACAUCAUGAUCACCUAGAGUGAACUCUGGGUGGCAUGCAAAGUGAAAUUCACGACAUAAAUAUCAGAACCUGCUUUGGGAAUCUGCAAGAACUUUCAUACUUCAACAUUCCGGAAAUAAUUUUUAAAUUUCUUGGGUGACUGAGGAAUCCAUUAUGAAUCCAUUUCUUUCUUUUCAACAAACUGAAUUCCCUGAAACCAGCUGUCCUAACAGGGGGUUAAUUUUCAUUUCCUUUAUUGCAUUUUCAACCAAGUGAUUGUGAGGAGACUGGGAAUAACCAACAAUCCAGGAAAUUCCUCCAGAUGGUCUUAAAGGGCGCCCCCCCCCCGCCCCCCGCCGCCAGUCUUCAAGCCAUUGCUGAUAUGCAGUGAACAAUCAUAUCACACAAUGAACAGACAGAUAUUUACUUGAAAUUGACUGUUAGGGAAGCAACAGGGUUUAGGGUGAAAGGAAAUCAAUUUUGAGAGAUCACAAAAAUGCCAAAUUACAAAAAAAUAAAAAAUAAAACCCCCCAAACAGUAAUUGAGCCGCUGCUUUCUUUGCACUUCAGUCCAAGCUGGAGGGAGGAGGGGUUCUGGUGCUUCUCAAAAAAAUUACUUCUCAUCAGAACUUUCCAUUAAUCAUUCUGCCUGCGGUCAGAAGCCGAGCUGCCAUGGAGGAGUGCAAAGUCCACCUGUAACACAGAGAAUCUUCCAACUUGGGGAUGUGCCGUCAGAGCUCUGGAUGCCAACCACAAUCACCUCUUGCCUUUACAAAGCCUGGUUUGGUUUGCAGAGAGCAUCCUGGAACACUACAUCAUUUGAAAUGUUUUCCAGGUGGUGCCAGUGGUGAAAAAAAAAAAAAAAUCCAGCUGCCAAUAAGGAGACACAGGAGACCUGGGCUCGAUCCCUGGGUUGGGAAGAUCCACUGGAGGAGGGAAUGGCAACUCACUCCAGUAGUCUUGCUUGGGAAAUCCCAUGGACAGAAGAGCUUGGCAGACUACAGUCCAUAGGGUCACAAAGAGUCAGAUAUGACUGAGUACACACGCAGCAGCAAUCUUCUUUCGGUUCACAGGAAACCUCAGCCAGGAGACAACAGCUCCUCCUACGCUACUAACCUGGCAACCACUGUACUUGGAUUUCUGCUGAUCCCUAGCAGUGGGGUGUCUGAGUCUCAGUCAGGAACACAGUGUGUCCUGGGUGGGGAAAGGAGGGAUCACAAGAGUCAACUUCUAUGGAGAGAGGAUCUCUCUGAGUGGAGACUGCAGAAGCAUAAAGACUCCUCUUUGGGGAAGUUGAAGAGAGAGAUUGCAUGGUAAUUGUGGCAGACAUGGUUCUAAAGAGGAUUUGUUUGGAUCAAGAGAGCUGUAUGCUUCUAGACUAAGAGGAAACAAUGUAGGCAGAGAGAAAGGUUGAAGUGGUAGGAUCAGGGGAGGUCUGAGC